Molecule: long non-coding RNA, 1078 nt
Organism: Papilio polytes (common Mormon)
Lineage: Eukaryota; Metazoa; Arthropoda; Insecta; Lepidoptera; Papilionidae
Exons: 2
Source: RefSeq, a predicted model, not a curated record
UGUACUUCGUGUACAACAAGACCAACAACCUGAUCGUAAGCGCCAUCUUCAGCUCGGUGAUAUCGUGCGGCAACGCCUCGCUCGAUUGCCUCAUCACGGAGGUCUUCCCUACCAACUUGCGUGCGACUGGUGUAGCGGUAUCGAUGGUGGCGGCGCGGCUGGGCGGCAUCAUCGGCAACGUGGUGAUCGCGGCGUUGCUGGACACGUACUGCCCCGCGCCCACCUUCAUCGUGGCCGUGCUGCUCGCCGGCGGCGGCCUCAUGUGCCUCUUCCUGCCCAACACCACCCGACAAGCUCUGCAGUAGACGACAAAUAUCGUGCCGCCAUCUUUUUACCACAGAUUAAAACAUUUACCUAUUUUUUUUAUCGGCUACUAAUAACAUAAACGUAAACUGCUAUUUUUAAUAACGUAACGUUUAAAUUAACCGUUAUUUUAUUAACGUUACGUCAUUUUACGCUAUCUUUCAAAGUUGAUAGCAAAUAGCAUUGUAGCUCGGCUAUUUUCAAAAAUUAUGCUUUAUUUCUGCAUUCUUUUUUAAAAUUUUGUUUUAUAGGCACGAUAUUUAAAUUACAUUUGUCUCUGCGGCUCGUCUUGUGAUAAUCGUUUUAAGCAUUUGUCAUUGAACCAGUCUUCAAAUCACUAGAAAGUAACUUUUACUAAGUACUUGUAAAUUAUACUGUUUUAUAUCGAUGCUUUUAAUUUAUAUACUAAUUAAAACAGGCGCUAUAUCUAUAUAUAUCUACAUAAACCAAACAAAUAUCAUUUUAUGUAAUGUAUUUAAUGUUUACUUUUAAAACAGGUUGCAAACAUGUAGUUUUUUAUCAAAAGUAUUAUGUGAUGUGAAAUGCAGCUGUUAACGAGUUACGAAUUUAUAUUAUAAAUUAAAAUAUUGUUGUUGUAGUUUGUAGUUUUUAGUGUAGUCCAGCAUAUGCAGGUAACGUUACCUACAUCUUCAUAAACGUUAUGUUAUAACGGUUUUGCCAAUACGAGUAAAUCAAAAUAGAAACUUAAGUUGAAUGAAAUGUUUCAAUUCACCUAGUAUUAAGUUAUGAAGAUAAAUAAAAAUAUUUUAUUGAA